RNAcentral lists this long non-coding RNA (1495 nucleotides) under Manihot esculenta (cassava). RNAcentral's name for it is "long non-coding RNA (MESC_LNC007462)". Lineage: Eukaryota; Viridiplantae; Streptophyta; Magnoliopsida; Malpighiales; Euphorbiaceae. The record is from RNAcentral.
ACUCCUGCAGCCCCUAAGGCUUCUCCUGUGACUCCUGCCGGUCCUGUAGCCGCACCCGCUAAGGCUCCUGUAAAACCUCAAACACCUGCUCCAGUGGUAACUCCCGUAUCUUCACCUCCGGCUUCUUCUCCGACGAAACAGACUGUUCCUGCUCCUGUUCAGACUCCAUUGGCUACGCCGCCACCUGCCGUCGCUCCUGUGAGCUCUCCACCUGCUGCAGUUCCAGUGAGCUCUCCACCAGCUAAAUCUCCUUCAGCACCUGCACCAGUUACUCCACCAACAAGCUCUCCUACGGAAAAUGCUCCUCCAGCUCCAGUGGCUGCACCAACCGCCGAGGUUCCUGCGCCGACUCCCAGCAAGAAGAAGUCGAAGAAGCACAAUGCUGCACCAGCUCCUGCUCCAGAGUUGUCAAGCCCACCUGCUCCACCAACUGAGGCACCUGGACCAAGCGCUGAAGCCAACUCACCUGGUCCCUCUGUGUCUGAUGAUCAGGUACAUUCUGGUGCUCUUCUUAAUUCAUUUUGCUUAGGCUACUGUCUAACAUGCGUCAGAGUGCAAUGCACUCUCAGAUCUAAAACUUUAGCUCAUAGAUCCACGGUCCACUGUUUUUCCUUCACCGCUAGAGGGGAAAAAAGGACAAAAUCUAUAAAUGGUAGUGCUCGCAUAGUGGAAACUGAUUAAAUUUUCUAAAAAUGAUGCUUCCCAUUGUUGAAAUGCUAAAAUGUCGGUGCUACGCUAUCUUGUUUAUUGAGAAGAGCGAAGCAAGCUUGCUCUGUGCUUCUCAAUUGCUGGAUCUGGUAAGAGUGUUGUUUCUAAUGUGAUAAACGCGGCAUUAGCGCUUGAGAUGCACGUUCCAGUCAUCAGUGGUCUGUCGCCACAUACUCUUCGGCUGUCACUCGUGGAUCUGCACAAUACGAAUACUUUCUGUCAUUCUGGUUCAGUUCAGGCGGGAUCCGUGGUUCAUUAGAGUAUUAGAUAGCAUAUUUGCCUUAAAACCAGGCCAAGUUGAUCGAUUAACGAAAUGUUUGAUAUGAAUGCAAUAGAAAUAGAAAUUUGUGCACAAUGCACGAACUCACCCUCCAUGAUUGCACUCCCUUCAAAAGGGAUCGAUUCAGUUCUCUUAGAAGAACGAUCCAUUGUUGGGUAAUUGAAAUUUUACGUCAAAAUAUCAGGCUAUUAACUCUUUGACAAGAAAAAAUUUCCCCUCUAAUUGAUUUGUAAUGUGGGUGGUAAGCUACCAAUUCCCCAGUAUAACAAAUUAGAAAUUCAAAUAAAGUUUAUUCUUAUUGAAUUGGGGCUGUGAAAUGCUGAAUUUGUUGAAUCAAAUUGCAGAGCGGAGCAGAGACCAUAAAGAGCCUACACAAGAUGGCUGGAAUUUUGGCGCUGGGAUGGGCAAUAGUGAGUUUGAUGUUCUAGAGAGAGCAAGGGUGAGAGAUGUUUAUCAUGUGAAACUACUGUUGCUCCUGUUAUAUUAUUUUAAUCUUUUUUUGGCCCC